RNAcentral lists this ribosomal RNA (249 nucleotides) under uncultured prokaryote. Its description in RNAcentral is "partial 16S ribosomal RNA". It matches the Rfam family "Bacterial small subunit ribosomal RNA", at positions 524 to 772 of the family's 1533-position model. The record is from RNAcentral.
UACGGAGGAUGCAAGCGUUAUCCGGAUUUAUUGGGUUUAAAGGGUGCGUAGGCGGAUAUGUAAGUCAGCGGCGAAACUCACAGGCUCAACCUGUGCCGUGCCGUUGAAACUGUGUAUCUGGAAUGCGGAUGCUGUGGGAGGAAUGUGUAGUGUAGCGGUGAAAUGCAUAGAUAUUACACAGAACACCGAUUGCGAAGGCAUCUCACAAAGCCGUUAUUGACGCUGAGGCACGAAAGUGUGGGGAUCAAA